UACGGAGGGUGCAAGCGUUAUCCGGAAUCACUGGGUUUAAAGGGUGCGUAGGCGGCCUAAUAAGUCAGAGGUGAAAAGUCACAGCUUAACUGUGAAGGUGCCUUUGAUACUGUUUGGCUUGAAUAAGGUUGAGGUUGGCGGAAUGUGACAUGUAGCGGUGAAAUGCAUAGAUAUGUCAUAGAACACCAAUUGCGAAGGCAGCCAACUAGGCCUUCAUUGACGCUGAGGCACGAAAGCGUGGGUAGCGAACAGG
This 253-nucleotide ribosomal RNA is filed under the name uncultured bacterium. RNAcentral's name for it is "partial 16S ribosomal RNA". It matches the Rfam family "Bacterial small subunit ribosomal RNA", at positions 524 to 776 of the family's 1533-position model. The record is from RNAcentral.